This is an RNA transcript of Pongo pygmaeus (Bornean orangutan), 1456 nucleotides long. It is a transcript of the gene named eukaryotic translation initiation factor 3 subunit F-like, with no coding region annotated. NCBI's taxonomy places the organism in Eukaryota, Metazoa, Chordata, Mammalia, Primates, Hominidae. The transcript is spliced from 3 exons. The record is from RefSeq and is a predicted model, not a curated record.
GUGCUUCCCUGAGACCUGAUUUGCGAGCUCUUUUUGCUGGUUUUCGCCAGAGGUUUUUUUUUACCAAAUCAAAAUUUCAACCAUUGACGAACACGGGUUGAAGGAAGAGGACGGGGAAGUUCAGUGAUGGUUGGGAACAACAGUGUUAGAUGAUAGGGAUAAUUAAGAGGGCAUAGUUGGGGACUUGUGGUUAUUUUGCACAGCUCUCUACUCUCAGUCCAAUGUUUGGAAAUGAGGAUGCUCCAUGUGCUACCCUAAAGAACUAUUUAUCUUCUCUCUUGACAAGAUGGCCACCCUGGCGGUACCAGCAAGUGUUCCUCCAGCUAUGCCGGACCCAGCCCCAGUGGCAGCCUUAGCCUCGUUCCCAGCCCCAGCGCCAGCACUGGCUACAGCUCCAGCUCUGGCCACAAUGCCAGCCUUAUCUUCAGACCCUACAGCAACAGCGGCUAUGACUGCGGCUAUGACUGCAGCUCCGGGCCAGACCCCAGCCUCAGCGCAAGCUCCAGCGCAGACUCCAGUGCCUGCUCUGUCUGGUCCUGCUAUCCUAGGACCCUUUCCCCGGGGCUGUGUGGUCAGGCUGCACCCUGUCAUUUUGGCCUCCAUUGUGGACAGCUAAGAGUGAUGCAAUGAGGGAGCUGCCUGAGUUAUUGGGACCCUGUUGGGAAUUGUCAACAAACACUCAGUGGUGGUCACCAAUUGGUUUUCAGUGCUGCACAAUGAGUCAGAAGAUGAAGUGGCUGUUGGCAUGCAAUUUGCUAAGAACAUGUAUGAACUGCAUAAAAAAUGAGCUCAUCCUGGACUGGUAGGCUACAGGUCAUGACAUCACAGAACACUCUGUGCUGAUUCAUAAGUACUACAGCCUGAUGGCCCCCAACCCCAUCCACCUCACUGUGGUCAGAAGUCUCCAGAACCACUGCAUGAGCAUCAAACCCUAUGUCAGUACUUUAAUGGGUGUACCUGGGAGGACCAUGGGAGUGAUGUUCACACCUCUGACGGUGAUAUAUACAUACUAUGACACUGAAUGCCUUGGAGUUGACCUGAUUAUGAAGACCUGUUUUAACCCCAACUAAGGGAUCAAACUCUCAAGUGACUUGCAGCAAGUAGGAGGGGCAUCAGCUUGCAUCUGGGAUGUCCUAGGCACAGUGUUGCAAUAUGCAGAGGAUGUACUGUCUGGAAAGAUGUCAGCUGACAAUACUGUGGACCACUUCUUAACAAGCCUGGUUAAGCAAGUACCCAAAAUAGUUACCAGUGAUUUCGAGAGCAUGCUCAACAGCAACAUCAAUGACCUGCUGAUGGUGACCUACCUGGCCAAUCUCACACAGUCACAGAUUGCCCUCAAUGAGAAACUUGUAAACCUGUGAAUGGGCCCCAGGCAGUUCACCUGCCAGUCUAGGUCUCAACCCCAGGACUCAGAAUGAAGUGAGGGAGAAAUGGGUUUUUUGUGGUCUUGAGUCAC